GAUGAAGAACGCAGCGAAAUGCGAUACGUAAUGUGAAUUGCAGAUUUCAGUGAAUCAUCGAAUCUUUGAACGCACAUUGCGCCCGCCAGUAUUCUGGCGGGCAUGCCUGUUCGAGCGUCAUUUCAACCCUCAAGCCCCAGCGGCCUGGUGUUGGGGACCGGCGACCUCGCCCGAGCCCGCCCUCCGGGGCGCGUGCCCGGUGCGUCCGCCGCCCCCGAAAUGAAUUGGCGGCCUCGUCGCGGCCUCCUCUGCGUAGUAGCACAACCUCGCAAGCGGGAGCGCGACGCGGCCACUGCCGUAAAACGCCCAACUUUUUUAGAGUUGACCUCGGAUCAGGUAGGAAUACCCGCUGAACUUAAGCAUAUCAAUAAGCGGAGGA
Molecule: unclassified non-coding RNA, 379 nt
Filed under: soil metagenome
Description: partial contains 5.8S ribosomal RNA, internal transcribed spacer 2, and large subunit ribosomal RNA
Rfam family: 5.8S ribosomal RNA (bases 1-120)
Source: RNAcentral